CGGCGAGUGAAGCGGCAACAGCUCAAAUUUGAAAUCUGGCCCCCUCGGGGUCCGAGUUGUAAUUUGCAGAGGGUGCUUUGGCGUUGGCAGCGGUCUAAGUUCCUUGGAACAGGACAUCGCAGAGGGUGAGAAUCCCGUAUGUGGUCGCAUGCCUCCGCCGUGUAAAGCCCCUUCGACGAGUCGAGUUGUUUGGGAAUGCAGCUCUAAAUGGGAGGUAAAUUUCUUCUAAAGCUAAAUACCGGCCAGAGACCGAUAGCGCACAAGUAGAGUGAUCGAAAGAUGAAAAGCACUUUGGAAAGAGAGUCAAACAGCACGUGAAAUUGUUAAAAGGGAAGCGCUUGCAGCCAGACUUGCCUGUAGUUGCUCACCCGGGCUCCUGCCCGGGGCACUCUUCUGCAGGCAGGCCAGCAUCAGUUUGGGCGGUCGGACAAAGGCCUCUGACACGUACUUCCUUUCGGGGAUGACAUAUAGGGGAGGCGCAAUGCGACCAGCCCGGACUGAGGUCCGCGCAUCUGCUAGGAUGCUGGCGUAAUGGCUGUAAGCGGCCCGUCUUGAAACACGGACCAAGGAGUCUAACAUCUAUGCGAGUGUUUGGGUGUCAAGCCCGAGCGCGUAAUGAAAGUGAACGGAGGUGGGAACCCCUCGGGGCGCACCAUCGACCGAUCCUGAUGUCUUCGGAUGGAUUUGAGUAAGAGCAUAGCUGUUGGGACCCGAAAGAUGGUGAACUAUGCUUGAAUAGGGUGAAGCCAGAGGAAACUCUGGUGGAGGCUCGCAGCGGUUCUGACGUGCAAAUCGAUCGUCAAAUUUGGGCAUAGGGGCG
RNAcentral lists this ribosomal RNA (820 nucleotides) under Periconia chengduensis. Its description in RNAcentral is "partial large subunit ribosomal RNA". It matches the Rfam family "Eukaryotic large subunit ribosomal RNA", at positions 87 to 925 of the family's 3401-position model. Lineage: Eukaryota; Fungi; Ascomycota; Dothideomycetes; Pleosporales; Periconiaceae. The record is from RNAcentral.